CUAAAUGUACAAAUCAGACGAUGUUUUCGUAAAAUAUUAACAAGCAUAAUAUGUACGACAACCGCAUCUCGAUAAUACUGCCAUCACAAACACUCAUCCCUUUCUUGUACUUAUCGCAACAGUCCUACCAACCGCUAUAGUUCUUGCGGCAACGUUGUUAGACUUUUUCAAAUUCGCAAUAGCUGUGGUUACUCUCUUUUCAAAGAAAAUCUACGUUUGAAUAUUAUACAUUAACGUUCGAAAUGGCGUCGCGUUUGAAAAACGAAGGUAAACGGAGCGGAUUAUGGCAGCACUUUACAGCGGUGGAUGCAGUAAGGGCAAAAUGCGAUUUUUGUAAAACUACUCUGUCUUACAAAGGUGGAGGUACAUCCAAUUUACGAUAGCAUCUCCUUGUUAAGCAUCCAACAAUUGAGUUAUCGCAAACAACAUCGGUAAGAAACGAUGAACAUGCCACAAUGGCCCCUGAACAUAGUACGUCAUCAGCUACAAAACAAACGAGGCUCAGCAACUACACGCAACCAAAAUUAUCAAAAGAAAUGGUAACAGCUUUAAAUAAGAAGCUACUACAAAUGAUAGUGAAAGACUUUCAACCGUUCUCCAUUGUCGAGGACGUUGGCUUUAAAAACUUCAUCAGUGAGCUG
This 641-nucleotide long non-coding RNA is filed under the name Rhagoletis pomonella (apple maggot). Its description in RNAcentral is "uncharacterized LOC118749472". The record is from RNAcentral. Lineage: Eukaryota; Metazoa; Arthropoda; Insecta; Diptera; Tephritidae.